This 21-nucleotide microRNA is filed under the name Physcomitrium patens. Its description in RNAcentral is "ppt-miR1028a-5p". Lineage: Eukaryota; Viridiplantae; Streptophyta; Bryopsida; Funariales; Funariaceae. The record is from miRBase by way of RNAcentral.
UCUUAGAUCUACAAUGUCACA